Microcebus murinus (gray mouse lemur) is the source of this 2160-nucleotide non-coding RNA. The record is from RefSeq and is a predicted model, not a curated record. Lineage: Eukaryota; Metazoa; Chordata; Mammalia; Primates; Cheirogaleidae.
AGAGACACCAAGAGACAGGAAAUGUGGAGAGACUGGAGAGACUCAGUGGAGGAGAGAUAAGGAGGAGACCAGCAGAGGCACGUGGACCACAGUGGUUUGGGCAUGGAGGACAUGGUGGCUUGGACUGGACUCUGAGCCAAAAGGGUCACAGGAGCGGGAAGUAUAUGGAGUUUGCAGGAGGAGCAGCUACAGCAGGCUCUUACACACAGACUGCUAACGAGCUGGUCAGCUGGAAGUGGGGCCAGAGAAGGGCCCAAAGAAGGGCUUCCUCUGCUUGGGGAAGUCUGGGAAGGCUUCCCAGAGGAGGUGGCAGCACUAACUGGAGUCUCGCCACCGGAAAGGUGAGUUCACCUCCUGGACAAAGAGGAUCAUAUCCAUCACUCUGCUAUACCAGUUGUGUCUACACUGCCUGUUGGCACUGGGGCCUGUGGAUCACAGGACUGCCCACUACUUCUGACAGAUGUGGAAAAUAAUGGGCCCUGACCCACACAGAUCCAACCAGCCUGGCGCCUCCUUGAAAGCACAGAUGUUGUCAAAGGUAGCUGUGAGCCCCGCCCCAGCACACAGCAAACGUGGGAUACCUGCUCACAAAAUUCAUCUGAGUCUAGGCUGAAUACAGGAGGCCGGCAAAGGCUGACGCUGAGUUUAACAGCUAAUUUUCGUGCAGUGCCUUGCAGUUUUCAAUGCACUUCUUCAAACAUUUAAUUGAACCUUCACAACACUGCGCUAGGCAGAGCAGGUAUCAAUGCCUCCACUUUACAGACAAGGACACUGAGGCCCAAGGUCCCAUAGCUAGAAGUAGUGGAGCCCGGACACCUGACUGCCCAGCUCUCCGCCAAAUGAGUGGCCUUCAUGACCUCAUGCAGAGGCCAGCAAGGCCGCUGGAUCCCUUCCCCAUCAUCUGUGUGCUUUCGGCUCUCUGGGCGGGAAGGGGAAGUGAAGAUGGUUGCGGUAGAGGAAGAAGACCAAGAAAGGAAUCUCCAGGAGAAAGGUGGGCUCAGUUUCCCUUCCUGGAGGACCAGAGGUACCCAAACACAACCCUGGGUGGAAAUGGUGUCCAGAUGCCCCACCAGGGAGAAGCCAUCAUGGAAAACCUGGAGGGGGGAAGAGGGGACUUAGGACAGAGUGGAAAACUGGAGCCAUUUAGCCUCUUAAGCCUCCUCCUCUUCCUCCCUCCACCCCUUGGACUGAAAACUGAAUGCCCACCUCUGUGACUUGGGGAUAACGUCUACGCUUCCUUUAAGGGAGGCAGUGCCAACCAUUCUGCUCAUGGACUCUGGCCAAGAGAGAUCUGCAUCCAAGCCCUGGCUCCACCGUACACGAAGUGACCUUGAGUAAGUCACUUUACCUCUUUGAAUCUCCAUUUCUUCCUCUGCAGAACUGGAACAGCCCCAAACUUACUCACAGGGCUGCUGUGAAGAGCACACGCGACAAUGAGCAUGAAGUACUCAGCACACUGCCUGGCACCCAGUGGGCCUGGCUGAACAUUAACUAUUGCUAUUAUUAUUGAUCUCUCCCCAGGCAGCUCCUGGUCAUUUGCCUGAUAUCACUGCCUGGCUAACCAAACCCUCUUUCAGCCUACACACACCCCCCUCUUUUCUCCUCAAGCCUAAGAACUCAGUCUGUUAAUGAAGCUGAACUCUCCUCCCCCAUCCCCCAUUCAGAAGUCAUUAGCAAGAUCUCUGCAAUUAGGAACAAAUGGCUUAUAACGGAUGGCAUCCAGGGGGUGGGGUGGGAAGGCGGGAAUGGAGCUGUAGCUUUGAGGGCAAUAUGGAGCUGCUACGGAAAGCAAGUCUUGGGGCAACGGAGUUUCUGGUCUCCAGGAGGGGACCAUACCGCCAUUUCUAUUUCUGAGAAUUCGGGGUUGGGGGGAGGGGAUAGGAGAAGGAUCAUCCUCUCUGGGCGAGCCAGGUGCAGGGCUGUGUGCCAGUCCUUUCGCCAGGCCGGAGGACUCGGGUCCGUGUGUGCGGGAGGGCAGGGCUGUGCCAAUCGGGACACAGCUCGCAGGGCGGUUCCGAAUGAGCAGCAGCAGCACACAGACCACAGCCCUGGCGAGCUGCAAGUGUGGGAGGGCAUCUGGUCCAGUGUUUUUCAAACUGCUGGUCUGAAAACCUGUAUGGUGGGUCAUACAGUCCAUUUUUUUUUUUUUUUUGAGACAGA